UACGUAGGGGGCUAGCGUUGUCCGGAAUCAUUGGGCGUAAAGAGCGUGUAGGCGGUCCGGUAAGUCCGCUGUGAAAACUCGAGGCUCAACCUCGAGACGCCGAUGGAAACCAUGUGGCUAGAGUCCGGAAGAGGAGACUGGAAUUCCUGGUGUAGCGGUGAAAUGCGCAGAUAUCAGGAGGAACACCGAUGGCGAAGGCAGGUCUCUGGGCAUUAACUGACGCUGAGGAGCGAAAGCAUGGGGAGCGAACAGG
This 253-nucleotide ribosomal RNA is filed under the name uncultured bacterium. Its description in RNAcentral is "partial 16S ribosomal RNA". It matches the Rfam family "Bacterial small subunit ribosomal RNA", at positions 524 to 776 of the family's 1533-position model. The record is from RNAcentral.